RNAcentral lists this unclassified non-coding RNA (313 nucleotides) under plant metagenome. RNAcentral describes it as "partial contains 5.8S ribosomal RNA, internal transcribed spacer 2, and large subunit ribosomal RNA". The stretch from base 1 to 104 matches the Rfam family "5.8S ribosomal RNA", at positions 51 to 154 of the family's 154-position model. The record is from RNAcentral.
AAAUGCGAUAAUUAAUGUGAAUUGCAGAAUUCAGUGAAUCAUCGAGUCUUUGAACGCACAUUGCGCCCCCUGGUAUUCCGGGGGGCAUGCCUGUCCGAGCGUCAUUGCUGCCCUCAAGCACGGCUUGUGUGUUGGGCUUCCGUCCCUGGCAACGGGGACGGGCCCAAAAGGCAGUGGCGGCACCAUGUCUGGUCCUCGAGCGUAUGGGGCUUUGUCACCCGCUCCCGUAGGUCCAGCUGGCAGCUAGCCUCGCAACCAAUCUUUUUAACCAGGUUGACCUCGGAUCAGGUAGGGAUACCCGCUGAACUUAAGA